UUUUUUUUUUUUUUUUUUAAGAUUUUAUGAGGCAGAAGCAGAGAGAGAGGCAGAGACAUAGGCAGAGGGAGAACCAGGCCCCCUGCAGGGAGCCCAAUGUGGGACUUGAUCCCAGCACCCUGGGAUCAUGUCCUGAGCUGAAGGCAGACGCUCAAUCACUGAGCCCCCCAGGCGGCCCUGGUUUUCACAUUCUAGUUACAUAAGGAAUUGGUGUUUGUUUAAAAAUCCUGAUGCCCUCAGUGCAGCCCCAUUGAUUCUGAGUGUACACAUCCAGGCUGGGGCCACGGACACUUUAUUUUUAACGAACACCUUAGGUGAUUCUAAUGGAAGUGGUCUAUGAAACACUGCAUCACAUCAUCUCAACAGCUGUUGUCGCUCCCGUAGUCCUCAGUACCUGGGAACUCGGCCUGGGGCUGGUGCUCUGAAACGUUUGCUAAAAGCUAUGCCACCAACCUGUCCGGACACCUCUACUCUCUGCCAGGCUCAUGCCUUCCUGUCUGUUUCCCUCUGCUCUUUGAUUCCUUUUGUAAGUGAGCCCAAAUAAACGAUCACAUUCUGUAUCUUCUCUUACCCCAACAGCAAUGACAAUCUUAAAUAUUAAAAUCACACUCAGGGUACCUGGGUGGCUCAGUGGUUGAGCAUCUGCCUUUGGCUCAGGUCGUGAUCCCAGGGUCCUGGGAUGAAGUCCCACAUCAGGCUCCCCAUAGGGAGCCUGCUUCUCCCUCUGCCUAUGUCACUGCCUCUUUCUGUAUCUCCCGUGAAUAAGUAAAUACAAUCUUAAAAAAAAAAAAAAUCACACUCAAACCGGGUUACUAACACUACAGGAGGUAUGGUGAUAGGUAAAAAAAAAAAUAGGAUGAAUUUGGAAAACAUCUUUAAUUUUUUAAACAAACACUUUAUGGUGCCAACUAUGUGCCAAUCACAGUUGCAAGGACUUUAUAAAUAUUAACUGUAAGAAUCCUAUGAGAUGGGUGCCUUCCUCCUGUUUUUAUAGGUUAGGACCCUGAAUCCCACUGAAUUUCUGUAGUGCUGAUUCUAUUCAAUGCUUUGAAGGGCAUUUUUACUAUUUUAAAAUAUAAAACGAAUAAUGAUACCGUAUGGAGUUGAACAUAGAAUUUCAGUUAAUAUAUUUUUAAAGAUUUUAUUUAUUUGAGAGAGAGAGACAGCACAUACGAGCAGGGGGAAGGGCAGAGAGAGAGGAACAGGGACAAGCAGACUCCCCUCUAAGUGCAGAGUCAGACUUGGGGUUCGAUCCCAGGACCCUGAACUGAAAUCAGACACUUUACCGACUGAGCCCCCCAGGUGUCCUUCAGUUAAUAUUUUUUUUUCCUUCAGUUAAUAUUUUAAUAGGAGGUGUAAAAUAAAUUUGAUCUUGGGGUCAGCUGCUACAGGCAGACCUUCUGUGAAUAGAGGUUCAAUCUCCUCCACCAUUAGAGGUAUUUCAGUGAGAAAAUUUGAGACUUUGGUAUUAAGGAAUUAGUAAAGCCUUCUUAAGCUAAUCCACCCAAGUAACAAUUUUCUUGAAUAAUAUUAUAUAAUAACGGCUUUCUUAUUUAAGUUUUAUCUCUAACCAUGAAAAUUGAAUGUUUACC
This 1592-nucleotide long non-coding RNA is filed under the name Canis lupus familiaris (dog). RNAcentral describes it as "lncRNA (ENSCAFG00805023114.1, ENSCAFG00845026787.1)". Lineage: Eukaryota; Metazoa; Chordata; Mammalia; Carnivora; Canidae. The record is from RNAcentral.